This 253-nucleotide ribosomal RNA is filed under the name uncultured bacterium. Its description in RNAcentral is "partial 16S ribosomal RNA". It matches the Rfam family "Bacterial small subunit ribosomal RNA", at positions 524 to 776 of the family's 1533-position model. The record is from RNAcentral.
UACGGAGGGUGCUAGCGUUGUUCGGAAUCACUGGGCGUAAAGGGCGUGUAGGCGGUCUGUUAAGUCUGAUGUGAAAUCCCCUCGCUCAACGAGGGAACUGCGUCGGAUACUGGCAGACUCGAGUACCGGAGAGGAAGGUGGAAUUCCCGGUGUAGCGGUGAAAUGCGCAGAUAUCGGGAGGAACACCAGCGGCGAAGGCGGCUCGCUGGGCCAUUCCUGACGCUGAGACGCGAAAGCUAGGGGAGCGAACAGG